AAGAAUCUGGCUUGAUUUUACGAUAGUGAGUGCUGGACC
Molecule: small RNA, 39 nt
Filed under: Bombyx mori (domestic silkworm)
Lineage: Eukaryota; Metazoa; Arthropoda; Insecta; Lepidoptera; Bombycidae
Description: ovarian small RNA-10490
Source: RNAcentral